CCUACGGGUGGCAGCAGUGAGGAAUAUUGGUCAAUGGGCGGAAUCCUGAACCAGCCAUGCCGCGUGCAGGACGACGGCUCUACGAGUUGUAAACUGCUUUUGUACCGGGGUAAAAUGCUCUACGAGUAGGGUUUUGACAGUACGGUACGAAUAAGGAUCGGCUAACUCCGUGCCAGCAGCCGCGGUAAUACGGAGGAUCCGAGCGUUAUCCGGAUUCAUUGGGUUUAAAGGGAGCGUAGGUUGUUUUAUAAGUUAGCGGUGAAAUACCGAUGCUAAACAUGGGGUCUGCCGUUCAUACUGUAUGACUAGAGAUCGGAUGCGGCAGGCGGAAUGUGUGGUGUAGCGGUGAAAUGCAUAGAUAGUACACAGAACACCGAUUGCGAAGGCAGCUUGCUAGGCCGGAUCUGACACUGAUGCACGAAAGCGUGGGGAUCGAACAGGAUUAGAUACCCGAGUAGUC
RNAcentral lists this ribosomal RNA (460 nucleotides) under uncultured bacterium. Its description in RNAcentral is "partial 16S ribosomal RNA". It matches the Rfam family "Bacterial small subunit ribosomal RNA", at positions 338 to 795 of the family's 1533-position model. The record is from RNAcentral.